Molecule: ribosomal RNA, 358 nt
Filed under: uncultured bacterium
Lineage: Bacteria
Description: bacterial SSU rRNA
Rfam family: Bacterial small subunit ribosomal RNA
Source: RNAcentral
AGAGUUUGAUCAUGGCUCAGGAUGAACGCUAGCUACAGGCUUAACACAUGCAAGGUCGAGGGGAAACGAUAUUGGAAGCUUUGCUUCCGAUAGGCGUCGACCGGCGUACGGGUGAGUAACGCGUAUCCAACCUGCCCACCACUUGGGGAUAACCUUGCGGAAGUAAGACUAAUACCCAAUGACGUCUCUAGAAGACAUCUGAAAGAGAUUAAAGAUUUAUCGGUGAUGGAUGGGGAUGCGUCUGAUUAGCUUGUUGGCGGGGUAACGGCCCACCAAGGCGACGAUCAGUAGGGGUUCUGAGAGGAAGGCCCCCCACAUUGGAACUGAGACACGGUCCAAAAUCCUACGGGAGGCAGCA